GCUCGAGUCUACCCUCAGCCCCAUGGGGAAGGAGGUCUGGAGCGUCAAUGACUCCAAGAGCUGCCCCACCUUGAGGCAAGGGGUGUGGACUUUCAAAUUCCUGUUUCCGUCCGCCAUUGGUUGAGGCCACCUCAAGGAGGAAGGGGAUUAUUUCCCAGGUAUCUCCAGGCAACGUGACUCCCAAGCACUGAGGACAAUUCUUAGGGGAUGUGUAUAGUCAAGGCAGCCAGAGAUAGCUCAUAGCACCUGCUACAGGCAGAUCUGGCCGGGGCACCCUUGGCACCUGCCCCAGGUGGACAUGACUACCCACUGAGACCUCAUUCUAUCAUUUUUCCUGCCGGCUGAGACCUACACCCCAGAUCAGGGAAACAAGAAAAUGCACCGCGUUCCAGUAAGCUCUUGAACAUCUCAGAAGAUAACUACCUCGCCAGGGUUCAGGCGGAAAGACGACUUGGUGCCUGGCAGCCCAGGUCUACGAGAAGAAGGGUCAAGUUGAGAACAGCAGAGGGACCAUUUUUGCCUUUAUCCUGUGACGUUACACUAUUCCACAACAUCUAUCUCUGGAUAAGUAUCCACUAGAACAACACUGCUCAAGGAGUCCCAUGGAAGGAUGUUCAUGGUGGAAUGAACCAAACUGCCCAUCGCCAGGGAAAGGGGGAAAUGGUUUUCCUGCCUGGGAUGGAGAACGUUUCAUUAAAGGAACCCAGAGACGCGAAAGGAGGGAAGGGAACCCUGGCAGGACUGAGAAUGUUUCCUGGCAGCUCCAAGGUGCCACCCAGUGUUUGCUUCCUGUUUGCCGAUGAGCCGUGAGCCAAAGCAAGCAACGUGGCCAAGCCCAGAGUCAAUAUGGGAGAGCGUGGACGCUGGGUAAUAUGACUCACUGCAGCCAUUGAUGGAACAAGUUAGCACACAUGCCUUUCUUAUCCCCCUGGUGAUGUUGAUGUUGACGACUGGCUUGGAAGAGAAAUGCCUUUGCCAUGACACGUGAGCACUUCGUUGCACUCCGGGAUGAAACUCUGUCCCUAAGUUACCAUGUUACCUAUGACUCAGUUAAACUCCUUUGGCCACCUCAGUACCCAAAUGGCUGUUACUUCCUGUGUGCUUCCGAGUUUUCUCUGUCCAAGCUCGUCAGCAGUUGUUACUAUGUCUGCGUCUCCACGUUUGUGGCUCUUUGUCUCUCACCUCCUGGGGCCAUUGGAUUCUUCCUCUUCUUCUCCCCAUUCCUUUGGCUUGGCUAAAACACCCGCAGGAUGGAAGGGGCAGAGGGAAAGGAACUGGGAAAGAGGAUACUUCAGAGUCAGUGGAGAAUUCAAGGAUCAGACCCUUCUCGGUGGGCCGUUAGAUAGUAGGAAAAGGAGUUCUACUGAAUUGGGUUUUCCCCAGACGAAAUUGUACAAACUUUCUUAGCAUCAUGCAGAUUUUCCUUUGUAGAUGCCUGUCACCAGAGAAAAAUGCCAUUGUGUUGUGUCAUGCUGAUGCCACGCUGAUACUGGUAACCCUACCAGCCUGCAGCGAGACUACGGAGUCAGAACCCAAGAACAAUGACUUUUGGCAUCAUCUUCCCGCUGGUGACUGCAGGAACAUAAACUCCCUGGGGACACGCAGGGGCUCUUUUGGUCUUGUUGAUGGCUAUAUCCACACGGGCCGGCAUGGGGGCAGAACCUAGAAGGUAUCCAAUACCUGAAUGGCCACAUCUCUGAGAGGAAGACUCAGAAAUGACAAGUUUUCAUCUCGAUGUGACUCCAGCUUUCUGACAUGUCUUGGUCCAAAGAGCCUCUGCACGUCUCUCCAGAGACAGGCCUGGAACUUGCACCUGUGACGGCCACAUCACUUUGCCCGUGGCUUUCCCCGGCUGUCUCUCCUGGGACAAUGAAUCAAGUGUGUUUGGCAAAUGAAGAUUUUUUUUUUUAAGUUUAUUUUUUUUUUAUUUUGAGAGAGAGAGAGAGAGAGAAAGAGAGAGAGAGAGAGA
Molecule: long non-coding RNA, 1969 nt
Organism: Herpailurus yagouaroundi (jaguarundi)
Lineage: Eukaryota; Metazoa; Chordata; Mammalia; Carnivora; Felidae
Exons: 6
Source: RefSeq, a predicted model, not a curated record